Molecule: long non-coding RNA, 746 nt
Organism: Metopolophium dirhodum (rose-grain aphid)
Lineage: Eukaryota; Metazoa; Arthropoda; Insecta; Hemiptera; Aphididae
Exons: 2
Source: RefSeq, a predicted model, not a curated record
ACACCAUUAUAAUAAACUAAAAUUUUACAGAAUAAUAAACAACGGCCAGACUGUCGCUUGUAGAAAUCGGUCGCAUCAAAUAAAACCAUUAACAACGACAACUAAGAUAUCGACACGCACUCAUAACAAUAUUACGUAGGAUGUGUGUGACCUUAUUUUAUGCUGACGCCAAAGAAUAAUCUAGUUCCCAGGCCCACAAUAAUUUAGUGACAAAGCCACCCACCACUCUCUGGUCAGCAUCCUCGCGUCCGUCCCUUAAACCAGUGCAUGAGCACCAACCACCGCAGUAACAACCUCUCAAAUACCAAAGAAACCGAUUUCAACGAGCGACAACUGGACUUCUUAUGCAAGCGAUAAUCAGUGCGUUCGUUAAUUCAAUUUGUGUAUUUGAAGUAGUACUUUAUUUUAUCUAAAACCUAAAACUCUUACAAUAUUGUCUACGAACAACUGCGAAUCAGAGGUGUAAAAAUGAACUCGAAAUGGACGAGUAGGACGAUAAGGUACAUGACCAGUGACCACACAGACACAGUGUUGUUCGCGUUGUCUAGAGAAGAUUGGCCACCGAAGCAAGGAAGGACACCGACGUCAGGCCAAUGAGAAAUACACAUUUUAUUUUUAAAACCUUGACUUUAUUCUUUACAUGUCUUUGAUAAUGCAAGCGUACCUUGUACGUGGUGUUUUCGAUAUAUAAUGAGUUUUUUUUACGCUGAAAAAAUAAAAACUACAUUGGUAGAUAAUUUAAUAAA